Venturia canescens is the source of this 2010-nucleotide RNA transcript. It is a transcript of the gene named UFM1 specific peptidase 1, with no coding region annotated. The transcript has 5 exons. The record is from RefSeq and is a predicted model, not a curated record. NCBI's taxonomy places the organism in Eukaryota, Metazoa, Arthropoda, Insecta, Hymenoptera, Ichneumonidae.
UGCUCCGACCACGACCUUUCGACGGCACUGGCGGGAUCGCCAUUUGCUUUUUUUCAGAUUCGACUUUGUCGUCGAGAGUGACGCUCGAUCUUCACUCUCGUCCGGCCACAAUGUUUUAUGUUGAUUUUACUGUUUUUGAUUUCAUUAUUAUACAGAGAUAUUGAACUUUACCAACAUAGAAAAAGAUAAAAAAUGAGUGAAAAAAAGGGUUAUGUUUUUGAGUAAUGUUAAACCCCAGUUUUUCGUAGGUUAAAAACAAAUGUUUUGAAACAUCUUUGCUUGCCAGAAAAACUACCAACACAUGGAAUUCGAUUGGAACACAAGAGUGCAUAAAGUCGAGAAUCAAAUACAAAAUUCUAAAAAAUUCCAAAAAUAAAAGUUGAUAUAAUUGAAAUAGAAGUUUCUUGUACAAAUUUUUUCAGGAUUUAUCGUUCCGUAUGGGAUUAUUAGUUUGUUUUCAGUAUAAGUUAUGUCUGGAAAUGAGGAUUAUUCGAUGAGACUGCUCCGGAAUGUUCACGUGGGGCUUCCGAGUCCUGAGCCGGGGGAAACCGUCUUGGUUAGGGGUGAUUACGAAUAUUGGCACUACAAUUGCGAUGGUUUUAAGGAUCAGGGAUGGGGAUGCGGUUAUCGUACACUGCAAACAAUUUCGUCCUGGCUUAAGUUUAACAAGAAAAAUUCGUCUGAUGUACCGAGCUUAAGAGAAAUCCAGAAAAUCUUAGUCGACAUUGAAGACAAAGAAAGUUCUUUCGCAGGAUCGAGGAUGUGGAUCGGGAGUUUCGAAGUGUGUUUGGUUUUGGAUGAGCGAUACGAAGUUCAGAGCAAAAUAAUUCACGUAUCGUCGGGCAAAGACCUCAGUUCGCACGUGCCAAGCUUGAAGCUGCACUUUGAAAAAUUUGGCAGUCCGGUGAUGAUGGGCGGUGACAAAGAUUGUUCGAGCAAAGGUCUCGUUGGGAUUCACGUUGGAGAUGAAAACACGUAUCUGCUCGUGGUUGAUCCACACUUUGUGGGACGUGCCAAGAGUCGAGAACAAUUGCAGCAGAAUAAUUGGACUAAGUGGCAAAACCUAAAAGACUUUAUUGACAGUUCGUUCUACAAUAUUUGUUUACCACAGAUCAAAAGUUGCUCUGCCUGAUCUAAAGAAUUUCGAGCAGUUCCGUUGAUACUUUUAAUCGUACCUGGAGUUUUAAACGGUGAGUUUCGAUUGGUAUCACUGUGACGAUUGGUAACUCUUCGAUGAGCACCUUCGGAUGUGAUUUUUCGAGACAACUGUUCAUCCAGUCCCAUCGGGCACCCUCCAAGAAUAAACCUUUUACUAAAAGUUGGAUAAACGUUCGCUCGAUAAAGGAAUGAAAUUUUGAAAAGCUCUCGAUUGUGUACCUGAUCCGGCCUGUCUUCGAUUUCCUCGGCUUUCAAGUAUUUCGAAACUGAGGUAUAAACGAGGGAUUUGUCGAGAGGCCAAUUGUUCUUCCUACAUGACAUUUGGACCAGCGCAGCAAUGUACGUUUCCGGUAUGUGGAGUCCUGAGAGCCAAAUAACUAUCGGUUCGUUGCAACCAGCCUGUGGGCAAUUUGCAUUCGUAAAAAAGCUCCUCUUCGUCCUUCCUUUGUGCUUCGUUCGUCGUUUCUAGACCAUUACCCAAUUCGUGUACUGAGCUAUCCUCCUGUCAAAAUGCUCCAUCCAACUACCAAGAUUUUUCUUCGUCGCCGGUGCCAAAGCUGCCCAUUCCUGCGGCAAUGUUCCGUUGUGAAGAGCGCUUGAAACACUGUCGAGUGUCGCGUCCAUCCCAAUUUCGCCUGCUAUUGCCUGAGCAACGAAUAAAUUCAUGUUAUUUUUUCCCCGAUAAAUCCUUCCGCGUUUUUCUCCGGUUUUGCUAUAUUUGCAGCAAAAAAUUUCAAGUUUGAUUUAUUGUUUGAAAUAUUUUCUCAUUUCUUGCGCUUCUUUCGUUUGGAAUUUCGUAAAAUGUUCAGAAAUUUGAUUCGAUACACGAAAUAAAACGUGCAUUUUCUCGAA